AUGGCGGGCGUGCUACCAUGCAAGUCGAACGGGCCAUCUUUCGGGGUGGUUAGUGGCGGACGGGUGCGUAACACGUGGGUGACCUGCCCUAGAGUGGGGAAUAAUUCCGCGAAAGCGGGACUAAUACCGCAUACGUUCAAGGAUUCAGUUCCUUGAGUAAAGCCUUCGGGCGCUUUAGGAUGGGCCUGCGGCGGAUUAGCUAGCUGGUGGGGUAAUGGCCCACCAAGGCGAUGAUCCGUAGGGGGCGUGAGAGCGUGACCCCCCACAUUGGCACUGAGACACGGGCCAAACUCCUACGGGAGGCAGCAGUGAGGAAUAUUGCACAAUGGGCGAAAGCCUGAUGCAGCAACGCCGCGUGAGGGACGAAGGCCUUCGGGUCGUAAACCUCUUUUCUGGGGGACGAGACAAGGACGGUACUCCAGGAAUAAGUCUCGGCUAACUACGUGCCAGCAGCCGCGGUAAAACGUAGGAGGCGAGCGUUAUCCGGAUUUACUGGGCGUAAAGCGCACGCAGGCGGCUUCGUGAGUCGGAUGUGAAAGCUCCUGGCUUAACUGGGAGAGGCCAUUCGAUACUGCGGGGCUUGAGGUUGGGAGAGGGGUGCGGAAUUCCCGGUGUAGUGGUGGAAUGCGUAGAUAUCGGGAGGAACACCAGUGGCGAAGGCGGCACCCUGGCCCACACCUGACGCUGAGGUGCGAAAGCGUGGGUAGCAAACAGGAUUAGAUACCCUGGUAGUCCACGCCGUAAACGAUGUCAACUACGUGUUGGUAGUGUUACACUAUCAGUGCCGAAGCAAACGCGUUAAGUUGACCGCCUGGGGACUACGGCCGCAAGGCUAAAACUCAAAGGAAUUGACCGGGGGCCCCGCCAC
Molecule: ribosomal RNA, 868 nt
Filed under: uncultured bacterium
Lineage: Bacteria
Description: bacterial SSU rRNA
Rfam family: Bacterial small subunit ribosomal RNA
Source: RNAcentral